Tachyglossus aculeatus (Australian echidna) is the source of this 242-nucleotide long non-coding RNA. RefSeq lists it as uncharacterized. The transcript is spliced from 3 exons. The record is from RefSeq and is a predicted model, not a curated record. Lineage: Eukaryota; Metazoa; Chordata; Mammalia; Monotremata; Tachyglossidae.
CUGAGACUGCAGAGGGAGAAGAUUGCACAGCUAGGACACCGUGGAUGGAGAGACAACACUUUGAAAAUCACACUUAGGAUGUGGGUUCAACUCAGCAACAAGAAACUUUGAGAAAGACACAGCAUCUGAUCUGAUCAUCCUGUACCCAGCACAAUGACUGUAAGGAUGGGAUUUAGUAUCAUCUACCAUGCUGCCUCAUAGCUCCUGCAUUUGACUUUACAAUAAGCUGCCAUAAAGAGGUG